This 557-nucleotide ribosomal RNA is filed under the name uncultured bacterium. Its description in RNAcentral is "bacterial SSU rRNA". It matches the Rfam family "Bacterial small subunit ribosomal RNA", at positions 102 to 694 of the family's 1533-position model. The record is from RNAcentral.
ACGGGUGAGUAACGCGUGGGAAUCUACCUAGUUCUACGGAACAACACAGGGAAACUUGUGCUAAUACCGUAUACGCCCUACGGGGGAAAGAUUUAUCGGAAUUAGAUGAGCCCGCGUAAGAUUAGCUAGUUGGUGGGGUAAUGGCCUACCAAGGCGACGAUCUUUAGCUGGUCUGAGAGGAUGAUCAGCCACACUGGGACUGAGACACGGCCCAGACCCCUACGGGAGGCAGCAGUGGGGAAUAUUGGACAAUGGGCGCAAGCCUGAUCCAGCCAUGCCGCGUGAGUGAUGAAGGCCUUAGGGUUGUAAAGCUCUUUCAGUGGGGACGAUAAUGACGGUACCCACAGAAGAAGCCCCGGCUAACUUCGUGCCAGCAGCCGCGGUAAUACGAAGGGGGCUAGCGUUGUUCGGAUUUACUGGGCGUAAAGCGCACGUAGGCGGAUCGUUAAGUCGGGGGUGAAAUCCUGGAGCUCAACUCCAGAACUGCCUUCGAUACUGGCGAUCUUGAGUCCGGAAGAGGUGAGUGGAACUCCUAGUGUAGAGGUGGAAUUCGUAGA